Molecule: small RNA, 1048 nt
Filed under: Pongo abelii (Sumatran orangutan)
Lineage: Eukaryota; Metazoa; Chordata; Mammalia; Primates; Hominidae
Description: retained intron
Source: RNAcentral
CCCUCCUCCCUGGUCCGCGAGCCUUGGGUACCCCCAGCAUUUUUUCCGCCAGAGCUGUUUCCGUUCCUCUGCCCGCCAUGCCCUUCCUAGAGCUGGACACGAAUUUGCCCGCCAACCGAGUGCCCGCGGGGCUGGAGAAACGACUCUGCGCCGCCGCUGCCUCCAUCCUGGGCAAACCUGCGGACCGCGUGAACGUGACGGUACGGCCGGGCCUGGCCAUGGCGCUGAGCGGGUCCACUGAGCCCUGCGCGCAGCUGUCCGUCUCCUCCAUCGGCGUAGUGGGCACCGCCGAGGACAACCGCAGCCACAGCGCCCACUUGUUUGAGUUUCUCACCAAGGAGCUAGCCCUGGGCCAGGACCGGUGCGUAGGGGCAGUAGGGGAUCCAUGUGGGACUGCCGCAGACUGGAGCCAGUGAUCCUGUCUCAGGGGGAAAAACCCAUUUCUUGCCCUGCCCAGUAAGGACACAUCAGGGUCUGGAGCUCUGGGGCCCCCUGACCCCUUAGGUUCCUGCUGUUAGGACCAUCUUCAAAGUGGGAGCAGGAUUGAAUGAAUUUCUCGCUCUGCUCCUCAGUGUGUAAGUCUGUGAACCGGGAAGGCUCUCUUUUAACACCCCCGGGGCAGUGCAAGGGUCAUGUGGGAUUGUCUGUGUGCGGUACCUGCCUUGGCACCUCACAGGGUAGGUACACGUGGCUGAAGUGUGAUUUUCUAGCACUUAUCCAGGCUGGUCAGAAGGAAUUCUGGGUAUGUUCUGAAGUUAUGUAUUUUGGACCUAUGGCCCAGCGACGUUCCAGGUGAGGUUCACGGGAGACUCACAGAGUAGUGAAAGAGCAUUGGCCUGGAUGUCUAGACAUCUGCUUUCUGGGUCCUGCAUAGCUGGGGGACCCCAGACAAACUUGGAAAUGAACCAUCUCCAGUUGGCAACCUCCUCUUUUGUGAAAACAGGGGAAAAGACCUCCCUCCCCCACAAGAAGCCUCUACAACCCAAACCUGGCGUUCUGUGACCGAGUUAAAGUUUCCUCUUGGGUAAAAGAUAUUCUUGAGCCUCAU